AAGACCUUGCACUUUUGGAGCGGCCGAUGUCUGAUUAGCUAGUUGGUGGGGUAAUGGCCUACCAAAGCUUCGAUCAGUAGCUGGUCUGAGAGGACGGCCAGCCACACUGGGACUGAGACACGGCCCAGACUCCUACGGGAGGCAGCAGUGGGGAAUUUUGGACAAUGGGGGCAACCCUGAUCCAGCCAUGCCGCGUGAGUGAAGAAGGCCUUCGGGUUGUAAAGCUCUUUCAGCCGGGAAGAAAAGGUUGCGACUAAUAAUCGCAAUCCAUGACGGUACCGAAAGAAGAAGCACCGGCUAACUACGUGCCAGCAGCCGCGGUAAUACGUAGGGUGCGAGCGUUAAUCGGAAUUACUGGGCGUAAAGCGUGCGCAGGUGGUUUUGUAAGUCAGAUGUGAAAUCCCCGGGCUUAACCUGGGAACU
Molecule: ribosomal RNA, 423 nt
Filed under: uncultured bacterium
Lineage: Bacteria
Description: bacterial SSU rRNA
Rfam family: Bacterial small subunit ribosomal RNA
Source: RNAcentral